Molecule: long non-coding RNA, 1307 nt
Filed under: Vigna radiata
Lineage: Eukaryota; Viridiplantae; Streptophyta; Magnoliopsida; Fabales; Fabaceae
Description: long non-coding RNA (VRAD_LNC013957)
Source: RNAcentral
ACGGCCUGCUCUUGAUUCUGAAUAUGACUCUUCAUCUGCUUCAUCAUAGCUUGAUUUCUCUCUUUUCUUCUGCCUUUUCCCGCUCCUGAUCUAGUUCUACCUCAAAUGACAUUGUCAUCCUUUUCAUUUGCCCCUCUGUUUCUUUGACUUGAAUCUGGGCUUCCCUCAGUCUUUUUAGGGUUUCUUGUCUAUCUCUCUUGGUCUCUUCAUAAAGAUAUCUCCAACGUUCCUCAGCUUCUAGUGUCGUACUCCUUUCUUUCACCCUCAAGGCUAACUUUGUGUUGGCGGCUGCGAGAUCCUACUUUAUUCGAAGCGUAUAAUCUCCUUCGAUGUUUUGUUUCCUGAGAAUCCCUUCAUAUGCCCGCGUUAUUUCUUCUUUUUCCGACCUCAAAUCUACACCAUCGUUGCGAGCAUUCCGUAGCUCUUUCAUCAACUUAGCAUUCUGAUUUCUCACUUCUUCUAUUUCUCUCUUCAAUUGUUUUUCUAAACUUAUCAAUCUUGUCAUAUUCAUGUCGGGGACUCUAAUGUGUGGGCUCCUUUUUAUUAUGGCGGAAUUAGUUUGUUGCAAGGUUNCAUAUUCCAUGUUAAGUCCCAACCUUUACGAUAUCAAAUAACUAUGUGAUUUCCGCUAGUACUGGUAAAAAUGUGGCUAAUGCAUGUGAUGCAUGAAACAUAUAUGUCAAAUAAUAAUCAAAGGACAACAUGUUUUAUGCUUUUAAAGUAGGUCCAAUAUAUUAAGGUUUAAGCAAUGUAUAUGCAAUCUCACAAGGAAGGCUUCCUAAACCUAAGAUCAAGGCCACCAGAGCUAUGGUCCUUUUCACAGCUUUUCCACAACAGUUGGACGCAACUAGGUGUGAAAUUGCAUGUAAAGAGAACAGCCACUGGCUGGGGUUUUCACGAUAGCCAAACUGGAGACAGUCCAAACGUGACACCGCUACACAACCCCUCUAAUUCUAAGUUGCACUCAGGCCCGGGUAUAGGGCCCCACUCAUGAUAUGUACAACAAUAAUAAUAAUAAAAAGAAUAAAAUACCAAAAUAGAUAAAGACAAACACAUAUAAAAAAAGGGAAAAUAAAAUAAAAUAAAAAAGGAAUAAAAUAAAAUAAAAUAAGAAAAAGCACAUCAAUUUUGGACAUUUAAUUAUCAAGGCCUGAUUCUCUAGCAUCCCCAGUGGAGUCGCCAACUAUCGCAACCGGGAUCGCGACGGGACGACAAACCGAAAAACAAACAGGUUUAAAAAAAAUUUUGGGAGUCGCCAUCAUAAUUUAUUAUGGAAAAACUAUGGAAAAACCUUAAAAUAAAAGCAU